This 258-nucleotide ribosomal RNA is filed under the name uncultured bacterium. RNAcentral describes it as "partial 16S ribosomal RNA". It matches the Rfam family "Bacterial small subunit ribosomal RNA", at positions 202 to 456 of the family's 1533-position model. The record is from RNAcentral.
AAGGCGGCGUNAGCUGUCGCUAUGGGAUGGNCCCGCGGUGCAUUAGCUAGUUGGUAAGGUAACGGCUUACCAAGGCGAUGAUGCAUAGCCGAGUUGAGAGACUGAUCGGCCACAUUGGGACUGAGACACGGCCCAAACUCCUACGGGAGGCAGCAGUAGGGAAUCUUCCACAAUGGACGCAAGUCUGAUGGAGCAACGCCGCGUGAGUGAAGAAGGUUUUCGGAUCGUNAAGCUCUGUUGUUGGUGAAGAAGGAUAGA